CGAUGGUAGCUUGCUACCAGGCGUCGAGCGGCGGACGGGUGAGUAAUACUUAGGAAUCUACCUAGUAGUGGGGGAUAGCACGGGGAAACUCGUAUUAAUACCGCAUACGACCUACGGGAGAAAGGGGGCAGUUUACUGCUCUCGCUAUUAGAUGAGCCUAAGUCGGAUUAGCUAGAUGGUGGGGUAAAGGCCUACCAUGGCGACGAUCUGUAGCUGGUCUGAGAGGAUGAUCAGCCACACCGGGACUGAGACACGGCCCGGACUCCUACGGGAGGCAGCAGUGGGGAAUAUUGGACAAUGGGGGAAACCCUGAUCCAGCCAUGCCGCGUGUGUGAAGAAGGCCUUUUGGUUGUAAAGCACUUUAAGCAGUGAAGAAGACUCUUCGGUUAAUACCCGGAGACGAUGACAUUAGCUGCAGAAUAAGCACCGGCUAACUCUGUGCCAGCAGCCGCGGUAAUACAGAGGGUGCAAGCGUUAAUCGGAAUUACUGGGCGUAAAGCGAGCGUAGGUGGCUUGAUAAGUCAGAUGUGAAAUCCCCGGGCUUAACCUGGGAACUGCAUCUGAAACUGUUAGGCUAGAGUAGGUGAGAGGGAAGUAGAAUUUCAGGUGUAGCGGUGAAAUGCGUAGAGAUCUGAAGGAAUACCGAUGGCGAAGGCAGCUUCCUGGCAUCAUACUGACACUGAGGCUCGAAAGCGUGGGUAGCAAACAGGAUUAGAUACCCUGGUAGUCCACGCCGUAAACGAUGUCUACUA
This 752-nucleotide ribosomal RNA is filed under the name Psychrobacter sp. PB2. RNAcentral's name for it is "bacterial SSU rRNA". It matches the Rfam family "Bacterial small subunit ribosomal RNA", at positions 69 to 818 of the family's 1533-position model. The record is from RNAcentral. Lineage: Bacteria; Pseudomonadati; Pseudomonadota; Gammaproteobacteria; Moraxellales; Moraxellaceae.